RNAcentral lists this long non-coding RNA (1142 nucleotides) under Coturnix japonica (Japanese quail). RNAcentral describes it as "lncRNA (ENSCJPG00005003033.1)". Lineage: Eukaryota; Metazoa; Chordata; Aves; Galliformes; Phasianidae. The record is from RNAcentral.
UUUUGGGUUUUGACUGCAGCUUUGAACCUUCCUCCCAGCUCCCAGGGAAGCUGACCCAAGUGAUCCCAUCAGUCAGCACCCACAGCUCUGGCUCUGAAGGUUACUACUCCAUCCUGCACCAUCCCAAGGAGAACGAUGAUGAAUGGGGUCUGUCAGCCUUGCAGGUAUUUUGGUUUCAGAAGCAGCCUGGGAAGCCAAGGCAUGCGCUGGGAUGCUGAGAGCUGGGGUUCCUACUGUGACAAGGAGGGCACUGUGUAAACACUGUGGGUGUACUAAGGUCCAAUGACAUGGACCCCUUUUACUUUGGAGCUGCCAGAGGCAGCUGUCCCCCCUCCAUGUGACAUCACAGAGGAUAGAGCAGGACUGGUCAGGAGCAGCACAGGUAGUUCAGAAGAGCUUCGUGGAGCCCAAGCUUGAAGCACAUGUUAGAGGCUGCUGUCUGUGUUCUCCCUCUCCAAAUUAUCUCUUUCUGUCUCAUUGCCUGUGUCUGUACACUUCUUUGUGUGUGAGCUCUGCAGUACCAAGGAAUUCUGCUCGAAGGGUUGACAGACUCAGCCUUCCCCAAAUGCUGCAGCUCAGGAGCAGACCUCAGUGCAGUGCAGAGAUGCUGUCCACAGCCUGGGCUGGAUGCAGGUGGCUGUGGAGCCGCUGGCAGCCAUGGGUCACCACUGUCAGCAGUGCCAACACCAGCCAUGCUCCCACAUCUGCUGUCCACAGCUGUGCCAUGCUUGAGGUGCUGCACCUACCCCACCAACCUGGAGCUGCUCAUCAUACUCCAGCAGAAGACCCAAACAGCAAUGCAAGCUGAGCAGCUGUAUAAAUGUUUCCUGACAUUUUGGAGAUGAAAUAGAUCAUGCUGUUCAAACCUCUUCUUUCAGAAAGCAUUCAAAUAAUACCUUUUCAAUUCGAGAGGACUUUUGUUUGCUUUAAAGAUUUUGUGAUAAUUUCCAGCAGAGGCCAUCAGACAGCCAGUCUGUUCCACUCUUCUCCAUCCCAGGAUGCAGACCAGAGCUCCCUUUUUCUCUGCAGGAUGUCCUCCAUCAUGCCCACACUCUUCUGCAUGAACAGCUUCCCUGGGUCUUCAAUAUCUUUCCAACACUGAAGCAGCUAUUCCAGCCAUUAACCAGCCCUCUCUGAAUGCA